This 780-nucleotide non-coding RNA is filed under the name Muscidifurax sinesensilla. The record is from RNAcentral. Lineage: Eukaryota; Metazoa; Arthropoda; Insecta; Hymenoptera; Pteromalidae.
UAUAAAAUUUAAGUUAAGUUUAUAAGAUUAAUUAUUUUAUUUAUAUAUAUAUAAAUUAUAGUAAAUUAAAAUAAAUUUUAAUAAUUUAUUUAUUUAAUAAAUUAAUAUAUAAAAUUAAAAAUUUAAGAAAUUAAUAUUUAGAAAUUAAAUUUAUAUAAGUUAAUUUUGUGCCAGCAACUGCGGUUAAACAAAAUAUAUUAAUUAAUUAUUUUAUUUAUUAAAUAAAUAAAUUAUAAAUUUUAAUUAUUAAUAAUUUAUGAUAAAAUAAAAUUUUUAAUAAUUAUAAUAAAUUUAAUUUAUUGAAUUAAAUAGUUAAAUUUAAUAGACUAGGAUUAGAUACCCUAUUAUUAAUUAAUAAAAUAGAAUAUUUAAAUAUUAAAAUUAAUAAUUUGAAAAUUAAUAACUAUGGCGGUAUUUUAAUCUAUUUAGAGGAACUUGUAUCAUAAUUGAUAAUCCACGAAAGGAUAAAUAUACAUAAAUAUAUUUUUGUAUGUUCGUUAUAAAAAAAUUUAAUAAUAAUUUUAAUUUUUAAAUAUUAUAAUUAUUAAUUUAUUUCAGAUCAAUAUUGAAUUAUAAUGUAUAAUAAAUAUGAGUUACAGUAUGAAGAAAUAUAAUGUAAAUAUUAAAUUAUUUAUAUAUUAGAAUUUAAUAGUAAAAUUUAUUAAUUUAUAUAUUUGAAUUUAGUUUUAAAAUAUGUACAUAUUGCCCGUCACUUUUAUGUUUAAUAAAAUAAGUCGUAACAAAGUAAAUGUACUGGAAAGUGUAUUUAGUAAAUUAUUU